AGAGUUUGAUCCUGGCUCAGAGCGAACGCUGGCGGCAGGCCUAACACAUGCAAGUCGAACGAACUCUUCGGAGUUAGUGGCGGACGGGUGAGUAACACGUGGGAACGUGCCUUUAGGUUCGGAAUAACUCAGGGAAACUUGUGCUAAUACCGAAUGUGCCCUUCGGGGGAAAGAUUUAUCGCCUUUAGAGCGGCCCGCGUCUGAUUAGCUAGUUGGUGAGGUAAAGGCUCACCAAGGCGACGAUCAGUAGCUGGUCUGAGAGGAUGAUCAGCCACAUUGGGACUGAGACACGGCCCAAACUCCUACGGGAGGCAGCAGUGGGGAAUCUUGCGCAAUGGGCGAAAGCCUGACGCAGCCAUGCCGCGUGAAUGAUGAAGGUCUUAGGAUUGUAAAAUUCUUUCACCGGGGACGAUAAUGACGGUACCCGGAGAAGAAGCCCCGGCUAACUUCGUGCCAGCAGCCGCGGUAAUACGAAGGGGGCUAGCGUUGCUCGGAGUUACUGGGCGUAAAGGGAGCGUAGGCGGACAUUUAAGUCAGGGGUGAAAUCCCGGGGCUCAACCUCGGAAUUGCCUUUGAUACUGGGUGUCUUGAGUAUGAGAGAGGUGUGUGGAACUCCGAGUGUAGAGGUGAAAUUCGUAGAUAUUCGGAAGAACACCAGUGGCGAAGGCGACACACUGGCUCAUUACUGACGCUGAGGCUCGAAAGCGUGGGGAGCAAACAGGAUUAGAUACCCUGGUAGUCCACGCCGUAAACGAUGAUUGCUAGUUGUCGGGAUGCAUGCAUUUCGGUGACGCAGCUAACGCAUUAAGCAAUCCGCCUGGGGGAGUACGGUCGCAAGAUUAAAACUCAAAGGAAUUGACCGGGGGCCCGCACAAGCGGUGGAGCAUGUGGUUUAAUUCGAAGCAACGCGCAGAACCUUACCACCUUUUGACAUUGCCUGGACCGCCAGAGAGAUCCUGGCUUUCCCUUCGGGGUACUAGGACACAGGUGCUGCAUGGCUGUCGUCAGCUCGUGUCCGCGAGAAUGUUGGUUAAGUCCCCGCAACGAGCGCAACCCCCUCGCCCAUUUAGUUGGCCAUCAUUUAA
Molecule: ribosomal RNA, 1085 nt
Filed under: uncultured bacterium
Lineage: Bacteria
Description: bacterial SSU rRNA
Rfam family: Bacterial small subunit ribosomal RNA
Source: RNAcentral